CACUAACUAUUACAAUAAUCACUCAAAACUGAUUUGCACUAACUAUUACAACCACCUUAGUCAACUAAACAAAUAAUCGAACAAGAAAUGAAACAAACAAGCUAGUCGAAACACUAGUUGCGCAUAUUCUUAGUAGAAAUCAACUCUUAAAACUUGAUCAAUCCCAAUUAAUUAUCUGCUAAUAGUUUGACUUCCAUGCUUAUCAAACAGUUUACUAGUGUUUACUAGUGUAGAUAUAUAGCAAUAUGACUAUUCUCGAUUAAAACAGUUUACUAGUAACCAACAAAGAAAUCAGAGCUGUUACGUUUUCAUUGAAUAGUGAUAAGAGCCCUGGCCUUAAUGGAUAUAUGACUACUUCAAAAUUGGUUCAAUGUUGCCUGCUUUUAAUGUCACUUUGGUGCUUAAAUGCCUUAACCCAAUCUCUAUAAAAGAGUUUCGACCAAUAUCAUACCAUUUUGUAUUUUAUGUGUAUAACUAUGAUUCAUGCUAAUAGAAUUCAAGCUCAUCUUCCAGAGGUUAUUAACAAGAACCAAAAUGGUUUUUCAUCCCUAACAUACAGGUGAAUAGCCAUGUGAACAGCCAUAUGGAGUUAGGAUCUUCCAAAUAUAUAGGAAAGUAAUAGAAAAAAAAUUUAGCACGCCUGUGCUGGAAAUACAAGUGAUGACAGAAAUUAAGGGUAAGUUUUGAUAUUAUCACUGAAGAUCCUGUCUGAGCAUCAUGGAAUUCCCCAUGACCAACCUCUUCAUGAAUCUAAAUAACUGGUACACACAAAUAAACAAGUCACAUAUAAAUGUUUUAUUAUAUGUGAUUCAGUUCAAAUCAUCAACUAAUUGCAGGUAAAUGAUUCCCAUGGAUGCUAAAAACAGAGACUUCAAUCUUUUCGUAAAUAUUACAAGGAAACCUCUCAAAGUCUAAACCACCCGGCAUGGACUGUGAUGUUAAUAUAUCUGUUUUAUGCCCAAAAUAAGAGGCAAAUAUAAACUAUCAUUUCGUAUAUUAUAAGAUACUAGUAAAAAAACUAGUCAUUUACAAGGUACACAAUUCAAAGAAUAGACGAGCAUGCAAAAUCUGAAAUUCAAUCUCAAUCUGCUUUGGGCAAAACCCAAAUGUUCUACAUUUAAAGACCUUAGAAAGUAGAGAGAACCAAUCAAAUAAUCAUGAAGAAAACACCAAAUGCUGAGUAUAUAUAUACUAAAUGAAUAGAUUAAUCCAGGACACAAAAACAAAGAAAUCUGAUCUUUUUUUAUUAGCCAAGGGGUUAACAAUGAGUGAAUUUGCAAUUGUGAUUCUAACUUAAUUGGCUUAGCUUCCAUUGAUAAGGCAGUGACACUCGAGGUUAAUGAGGACUGAAUUUGCAAUGGUGAUUCUAUCUUAUUUGGCUUAGCUUCCUUUGGUAAGACAACAACACUUGAAACUUGCAUGAGUAGAAAGACAAUAGACUAUAUUAACCCAACCGGUGUAAUUAGCUAAGCUUCAAGUGUCAUUUUCGCUUAUUUGGAAAACAGACAAUCAUAGCUGAAUUGAAAUUCUACAUUACCUGAAGCCUCAACCUACAGUCUCUACCAAUUUCUUAACUCAUUCAACCUAUGUUACUUGGAUUCGUGUGUAAGAGUCAGAUUGGGUAUAUUCCAACAGGAGUAUGCCCAUUUCCCCCCAAAUUUUUUCUAUGUAUUUGAAUAGUCAUUGAAGGAUUGUAUCCCCAUACCCAUAUCACGAUAUUUGUCGGAUACAAAUGCUUCGAACAAAAUGAAGAAUCUGAGCAACAUAGAAUCUAACAAAAACCAUCUUCAUUCUACUUGAAGACCAACAGGCAUCAGUCGUAAGAGUUAGCUCUUUCCUAGCUGUCUUCUAAAUAGCCUUAACUUAGCAACACAAACUUUGUCGAAAAGUUUAAUUGACAACAAAAGUAUCAGUUUCAUAAAAGAAUAAAGGGAAACCAAAGUGCCCUAUCAACAGAAUCAGUCAAACAUGCAAUAGAAUAAAUAAGUAAUAGAACCACAUUGAAAAAGUUUUCAUCUGUUCAAUCGAACAUGCAAUAGAAUCAGUCAAAGAAAAGCCGAAUGAAAAUCAUAAGAAAGGAAUCAAAAUUAAGAGAACGAAAAACAAAUAUUCCAGAUUUGAGCAAAAGAAAAACUACUUGUAAAAUAAAUAGGGAAAGAGUGCGACCUGCUAAAAGAGUGAUGGUAACGACCUGUCACUCAAAACUGAAGAGUUAGAAAAUGGAGAAAAGAAAAACGAAAUCUAUUUUACAGAAAAGAAAAGAAAAGAAAAACAGGGAAAGAGUGCGAGCAUUUUUCGUUCUUGAUAAAAUAGAGAAAAGAAAAGAAACGUAAAUAGAAGAAAAGAAAUGUACGAGAAGAAGAAGCAAAAAUCGAUGGAAAGGAAAAAAUUACCUUUGCAAUAUCGAUGGAAGAAGAAGCAGAAACCGAUGAGGGCAGAAAAUAUAAUAAAAAAUAAAAAACGGGUGAGGAAUCCCUAAUUGGCGCUGAAUGGGGGGAAUGGCUAUUACAGCCAAUGGGGGUAAUAGGGACGAAACUGAUUCAGGCCGUAAUAGCAUUACAACCAACCAAACGCCCGUUUGGUAGUGGGCCCGCAGAAUAGGGGGAAUGCAUUCCUAUUCCCUCCAACCAAACAUGUCCUAAGGUUGGGCAGUUUGGAAUUCAAAUAAUAAAUAAAUUAAACAACGGUUUUC
This 2692-nucleotide long non-coding RNA is filed under the name Gossypium barbadense (sea-island cotton). RNAcentral's name for it is "long non-coding RNA (GBAR_LNC022398)". Lineage: Eukaryota; Viridiplantae; Streptophyta; Magnoliopsida; Malvales; Malvaceae. The record is from RNAcentral.